This 1381-nucleotide long non-coding RNA is filed under the name Pogona vitticeps (central bearded dragon). RNAcentral describes it as "lncRNA (ENSPVIG00000025291.1)". Lineage: Eukaryota; Metazoa; Chordata; Lepidosauria; Squamata; Agamidae. The record is from RNAcentral.
UCAAACUUUCAUUUGUUUUAGCAUUACUGUCUUUGAGAGCUUUGAUAUGCAAUAGGAUAUAAAAUUAAAUAAAUCAUAAUCUGUUCAGGCUGCUAUGAGCAAGAUCUAGCUCUUUCCUUGGACAGAUGGAAAACAUAUCCAGAGGACCAUGAUGUGAACACCAGACCAGAAAUUAUGGGCAGGUCUGUACCUUAAAAUUGAGAAGCAUGCAGCUCAGCGUAGAGGAAAACAAGGGGGCAGAGCAAUGCAGACUCUGAAGCACAGGUAACAUGAAUCUAGAGAAGAGCAUAUUGAUGUCACAGGCCAUGGAAGAACAUGGAAGACAAAAGAUGAGUUGAAGAUUCCAGUCUGAAUGUCCAGUGUGAUGAUGGCAGAGUGAUGAGGCCAGAAUGCCACCCCUUGACUUUUGGAAACAGAGAGAGAAAGAGGGGAAGGAAACUGAGCUGAAAUUUCCUGUAACACUAAAGAGUGGAGCUAUAUUUGGCACAGUACAAAGUGGCUCUCAGUGUUAAGUUUCAGAUGAUGAGAGAAUUUCCAUGGCAUUAUAAUGUGACGAACUGGCCUGAAUUCAUUUGUCAAUUCUAACUGGAACAGAUGCAUUAAAUUGGUAGGAACGUGGUAAGUCAUUACUUCUGUAAGUUUCAGUGAUUCCAUGGGUUUACUCUGUUUGGGAUUAAUGCUUGGAUUUAAGCCUUCUCUUUUUAUCAUUGCAACUUUUUGUCUGUUUUGAUCUGUAUAGUAUUUAUCAUUUUUAAAAUUUUAUCUGCACCUGUUUUGAAUCUAUUUGAAAGUUGCCUUGAAUUCUAGCUCUGAAAAAUGUUGAGCUAUAACUCAAAGAAAGAAAAUACUUUGAAAGGCUGAUUUUCUGUCCCCUUUAUUGUCUCUAAAAGGUAGCUACAGUCACCGUUUGGAUUCAAACUGAACCUUCUUCCUUCUUUAAUAUUCCAUUUUUACUGUCAUAAUUUUUUAAAAAAUGCAACCAUCCUUCUCUUCCUUAUUUGUUGGCUUCUGGAUCAAUAGCCUCACAGAUAAUUAUUUUACAUCAGGAAUACAGUCAUUAAAAAGGAUUAAAUCCUCAGCAAAAUUAUGAAUUCCUCAGAUCUUACACCUGUUGAUAGAUUUCUCCCAUAAUCAUUAUUACCGAGCGAAUGAUGCCCUGCCCUUUUCCAGUUUUGCUCCUUUGGAAUCCAUCAUCUCCUCUCCUCUCCUCUCCUCUCCAGUUCUCAUUAAUUAUCAACAUUAUGCUGACACCAGUCAAGAUCUAGACAAAGUGAGGCCACUAUGUUAGACAGGAGAUGGUAGUGGUGCUGGGACAGGCUGCAAAAUGUUGAAAAUACUUGCUAGAAGAAGAAGUGAAUAUGAAACCUGUUUCUCAGGCAUC